RNAcentral lists this ribosomal RNA (373 nucleotides) under uncultured eukaryote. RNAcentral describes it as "partial 18S ribosomal RNA". It matches the Rfam family "Eukaryotic small subunit ribosomal RNA", at positions 592 to 975 of the family's 1831-position model. The record is from RNAcentral.
CAAUAGCGUAUAUUUAAGUUGUUGCAGUUAAAAAGCUCGUAGUUGGAUUUCUGCUGAUCGCUGUCGGUCUGCCGUCAGGUGUGUACUGGCAGUGUUUGGCAUCUAUUCGAGAUUGGGUGUCCACUUGAUUGUGUGCACUCGAUGUCGGAGCUAAUACUUUGAGAAAAUUAGAGUGUUCCACGCAGGCGCGUGCCUUGAAUACUGCAGCAUGGGAUAUUGGAAGGCCGAUUGAGCUUUCUUGUUGGUUCUCGGUUUGAUCGGAAUGAUUAAUAGGGAUAGUUGGGGGCAUUCGUAUUCAACUGUCAGAGGUGAGAUUCUUGGAUUUGUUGAAGACGGACUACUGCGAAAGCAUCUGCCAUGGAUGUUCUCAUUG